Molecule: transfer RNA, 76 nt
Filed under: Synechococcus sp. CC9902
Lineage: Bacteria; Bacillati; Cyanobacteriota; Cyanophyceae; Synechococcales; Synechococcaceae
Description: tRNA-Ala
Source: RNAcentral
AAGAGCGGCUUUGUUGAAGCUCCUUGCCAAUGAAGAGCAAGCCGAUUGUUCGUCGGCGAGUCACCAACGAACGUCU